Molecule: ribosomal RNA, 1955 nt
Filed under: Salmonella enterica
Lineage: Bacteria; Pseudomonadati; Pseudomonadota; Gammaproteobacteria; Enterobacterales; Enterobacteriaceae
Description: partial 23S ribosomal RNA
Rfam family: Bacterial large subunit ribosomal RNA
Source: RNAcentral
AAGGCCCAGACAGCCAGGAUGUUGGCUUAGAAGCAGCCAUCAUUUAAAGAAAGCGUAAUAGCUCACUGGUCGAGUCGGCCUGCGCGGAAGAUGUAACGGGGCUAAACCAUGCACCGAAGCUGCGGCAGCGAACGUAUCACCCAAGACAACUUUACGGAGUUGACGAUUGACGGAGCGAAGCGACGUCAAAGCGUUCAUUAAAGUCGAGUUGGCUUAGGGAUACGUUCGUUGGGUAGGGGAGCGUUCUGUAAGCCUGUGAAGGUGUGUCGUGAGGCAUGCUGGAGGUAUCAGAAGUGCGAAUGCUGACAUAAGUAACGAUAAAGCGGGUGAAAAGCCCGCUCGCCGGAAGACCAAGGGUUCCUGUCCAACGUUAAUCGGGGCAGGGUGAGUCGACCCCUAAGGCGAGGCCGAAAGGCGUAGUCGAUGGGAAACGGGUUAAUAUUCCCGUACUUGGUGUUACUGCGAAGGGGGGACGGAGAAGGCUAUGUUGGCCGGGCGACGGUUGUCCCGGUUUAAGCGUGUAGGUGUGUGUUCCAGGUAAAUCCGGUUCACUUUAACACUGAGGCGUGACGACGAGGCACUACGGUGCUGAAGCAACAAAUGCCCUGCUUCCAGGAAAAGCCUCUAAGCAUCAGGUAACACGAAAUCGUACCCCAAACCGACACAGGUGGUCAGGUAGAGAAUACCAAGGCGCUUGAGAGAACUCGGGUGAAGGAACUAGGCAAAAUGGUGCCGUAACUUCGGGAGAAGGCACGCUGACACGUAGGUGAAGUGAUUUACUCAUGGAGCUGAAGUCAGUCGAAGAUACCAGCUGGCUGCAACUGUUUAUUAAAAACACAGCACUGUGCAAACACGAAAGUGGACGUAUACGGUGUGACGCCUGCCCGGUGCCGGAAGGUUAAUUGAUGGGGUCAGCGUAAGCGAAGCUCCUGAUCGAAGCCCCGGUAAACGGCGGCCGUAACUAUAACGGUCCUAAGGUAGCGAAAUUCCUUGUCGGGUAAGUUCCGACCUGCACGAAUGGCGUAAUGAUGGCCAGGCUGUCUCCACCCGAGACUCAGUGAAAUUGAACUCGCUGUGAAGAUGCAGUGUACCCGCGGCAAGACGGAAAGACCCCGUGAACCUUUACUAUAGCUUGACACUGAACAUUGAGCCUUGAUGUGUAGGAUAGGUGGGAGGCUUUGAAGUGUGGACGCCAGUCUGCAUGGAGCCGACCUUGAAAUACCACCCUUUAAUGUUUGAUGUUCUAACGUGGACCCGUAAUCCGGGUUGCGGACAGUGUCUGGUGGGUAGUUUGACUGGGGCGGUCUCCUCCUAAAGAGUAACGGAGGAGCACGAAGGUUGGCUAAUCCUGGUCGGACAUCAGGAGGUUAGUGCAAUGGCAUAAGCCAGCUUGACUGCGAGCGUGACGGCGCGAGCAGGUGCGAAAGCAGGUCAUAGUGAUCCGGUGGUUCUGAAUGGAAGGGCCAUCGCUCAACGGAUAAAAGGUACUCCGGGGAUAACAGGCUGAUACCGCCCAAGAGUUCAUAUCGACGGCGGUGUUUGGCACCUCGAUGUCGGCUCAUCACAUCCUGGGGCUGAAGUAGGUCCCAAGGGUAUGGCUGUUCGCCAUUUAAAGUGGUACGCGAGCUGGGUUUAGAACGUCGUGAGACAGUUCGGUCCCUAUCUGCCGUGGGCGCUGGAGAACUGAGGGGGGCUGCUCCUAGUACGAGAGGACCGGAGUGGACGCAUCACUGGUGUUCGGGUUGUCAUGCCAAUGGCACUGCCCGGUAGCUAAAUGCGGAAGAGAUAAGUGCUGAAAGCAUCUAAGCACGAAACUUGCCCCGAGAUGAGUUCUCCCUGAGACUUAGAGUCUCCUGAAGGAACGUUGAAGACGACGACGUUGAUAGGCCGGGUGUGUAAGCGCAGCGAUGCGUUGAGCUAACCGGUACUAAUGAACCGUGAGGCUUAACCUUACA